RNAcentral lists this small RNA (45 nucleotides) under Verrucomicrobiaceae bacterium SCGC AG-212-N21. RNAcentral's name for it is "Acido-Lenti-1 RNA". It matches the Rfam family "Acido-Lenti-1 RNA". The record is from Rfam by way of RNAcentral. Lineage: Bacteria; Pseudomonadati; Verrucomicrobiota; Verrucomicrobiia; Verrucomicrobiales; Verrucomicrobiaceae.
CCUUGGGCUUCGCCCAAGGCUGGUAUGGGACGCGCCUUCAGCGCU